RNAcentral lists this ribosomal RNA (195 nucleotides) under uncultured Prevotella sp. RNAcentral describes it as "partial 16S ribosomal RNA". Lineage: Bacteria; Pseudomonadati; Bacteroidota; Bacteroidia; Bacteroidales; Prevotellaceae. The record is from RNAcentral.
GGAGUUUGGUCCGUGUCUCAGUACCAAUGUGGGGGACCUUCCUCUCAGAACCCCUACUGAUCGUUGCCUCGGUGGGCCGUUACCCCGCCGACAAGCUAAUCAGACGCAUCCCCAUCCCUCAGCGGUAAACCUUUAUUCCUCGUUAGAUGCCUGCAAAGGAAAACAUAGGGUAUUAAUCCGCAUUUCUUACGGGCU